Gambusia affinis (western mosquitofish) is the source of this 671-nucleotide long non-coding RNA. RefSeq lists it as uncharacterized. The record is from RefSeq and is a predicted model, not a curated record. The transcript has 4 exons. Lineage: Eukaryota; Metazoa; Chordata; Actinopteri; Cyprinodontiformes; Poeciliidae.
AACAAACGUAUAACUCAGGGCUGUAAAUUCAAAUAAAUGUGAAGGAAACCCAAAGAUCAUGUCGAGUGCAGUUUCGUGUGUAGUGUUUGUUCUCACCACACUGUAUCUGAUUUGAAGUCCCAUAUUUGAAUCAGAAGGAUAAACGUCAGUGCAGUGCAAGAACCAUGAAGGAGGCAGUGCUGGAGACUGUUGCCAAAGUCUCCUCAGAGGGAAGAAAGACAAAUAAUAAACACAGAGCUCAUCAGGAUGACCCACAGGGCUCAUGUGAUCUCUAAUGGACCGGAGCCGGUGGAAUCAAUUCACGGCUGGUUUGGGAAUGGAUCAGGAGUUUGAUAAUAAGUCGGCAGAUUCCCGCCCUGCGUCGGGAAGCGCCUCCUCUGCGCCACGUGAGCGAUGGGAGGAAUCUACAAAUGGGACACGGAGCGAGGAGUUUUCACGGGUCCCUUUGAUGAGCUGCUCCUCGUCUCCAUCGAGCUGAUUACACCAGAGGAGGAAUUAUUCAUGACAUAAAUGGCAGAGGAGUUGUUAACGGAAAAUGCUGCAAAAAUCAGUGGGCAUCUCACAUGGUCACUGCUGGCGGUGGCGUUCCUGGCCUCGUUCGGCAGCUCCAUGCUCUACGGCUUCAAUUUGGCCGUCGUCAACUCGCCCGCAGAGUACAUCAAAGCCUUCUA